RNAcentral lists this ribosomal RNA (253 nucleotides) under uncultured bacterium. Its description in RNAcentral is "partial 16S ribosomal RNA". It matches the Rfam family "Bacterial small subunit ribosomal RNA", at positions 524 to 776 of the family's 1533-position model. The record is from RNAcentral.
UACGUAGGGGGCAAGCGUUGUUCGGAUUCAUUGGGCGUAAAGGGCGCGUAGGCGGCGGGGUAAGUCGGGUGUGAAAUCUCAGAGCUCAACUCUGAAAUGGCACUUGAUACUGCUCUGCUAGAGGACUGGAGAGGAGAUUGGAAUUCACGGUGUAGCAGUGAAAUGCGUAGAUAUCGUGAGGAAGACCGGUGGCGAAGGCGGAUCUCUGGACAGUUCCUGACGCUGAGGCGCGAAGGCGUGGGGAGCGAACAGG